CCUCGUGGAAUCAGGCCUUUAAGGCGGUUUUCCACUAGGCGGAAUUUUUCGACCGAAUCGAAAUUUCUCUUUGUUUCAUGAGCUCUCAAGCAGAACUAAUUGUAAAAAGACAAAGAGAAAUUUCGUUUCGGUCGAAAAAUUCCGCCUCGUGGAAUCCGGCCUUAAAGGCGGUUUUCCACUAGG
Molecule: microRNA precursor, 183 nt
Filed under: Paramuricea clavata
Lineage: Eukaryota; Metazoa; Cnidaria; Anthozoa; Malacalcyonacea; Plexauridae
Source: RNAcentral